RNAcentral lists this long non-coding RNA (203 nucleotides) under Elaeis guineensis (African oil palm). RNAcentral's name for it is "long non-coding RNA (EGUI_LNC051411)". The record is from RNAcentral. Lineage: Eukaryota; Viridiplantae; Streptophyta; Magnoliopsida; Arecales; Arecaceae.
CUUCAAUGCAAGCUCUAGCUGCUACUUCAAUGCUGGGUCAAGCUACUGCUUCAACGCAAGCUCAAGCUACUAUUUUGAUGCAAGCUCGAGCUACUGUUUCAACAUCGACUAAGGAACCUGAGGCACCAUCAGUUUCUAAGCCGGUCCUGACGCUGUCAGCUCUUAUAGCACUUCCCACUAUGCCAUCUGCAAAAGGGGUGGCG